UGCCAGCAGCCGCGGUAACACGGGGGGCGCAAGCGUUAUUCGGAAUUACUGGGCGUAAAGCGCGCGUAGGCGGGCUGUUAAGUCGGGGGUGAAAUCCCGGGGCUCAACCCCGGAAGUGCAUUGGAAACUGGCGAACUUGAGUACGGGAGAGGAAAGUGGAAUUCCGAGUGUAGGGGUGAAAUCCGUAGAUAUUCGGAGGAACACCAGUGGCGAAGGCGGCUUUCUGGACCGAUACUGACGCUGAGACGCGAAAGCGUGGGGAGCAAACAGGAUUAGAUA
Molecule: ribosomal RNA, 279 nt
Filed under: uncultured bacterium
Lineage: Bacteria
Description: partial 16S ribosomal RNA
Rfam family: Bacterial small subunit ribosomal RNA
Source: RNAcentral